UUUAAGUGCAGUAGAACAGUGUGGGUUUCUGUAUCUAACGUUUGACUGUCCAUCUUAUUUUAAAAAAUUAAAUAAAAUAAGUCACAAAUAAAGUAUCAUUCAUGUUUUAUCAUAUAAUAAUAAUAAAAUAUUGUUUAUAAAAAUAUUUCAAAUAAAACGGAUGAUAAAACGUUGCGUACAGAAACCCACAAUUACAUUUAAA
Molecule: non-coding RNA, 202 nt
Organism: Oryza barthii
Lineage: Eukaryota; Viridiplantae; Streptophyta; Magnoliopsida; Poales; Poaceae
Source: Rfam